RNAcentral lists this microRNA (22 nucleotides) under Bos taurus (domestic cattle). RNAcentral's name for it is "bta-miR-2436-3p". Lineage: Eukaryota; Metazoa; Chordata; Mammalia; Artiodactyla; Bovidae. The record is from miRBase by way of RNAcentral.
CCCGCCCGACCGCCUCGCCCAA